Saimiri boliviensis boliviensis (Bolivian squirrel monkey) is the source of this 2041-nucleotide non-coding RNA. NCBI's taxonomy places the organism in Eukaryota, Metazoa, Chordata, Mammalia, Primates, Cebidae. The record is from RefSeq and is a predicted model, not a curated record.
GCUGUUCCAGCCACGCCCCCGAGCUCUGUCAUGGCGACGUCCAGUGCUGUAGCCGGUGUGAGGACACGCUAUGCUGGGGUUUUUGUCUGCGCGACAAACUGGUUUGGAGGACCCUCUUCGCCUGCGGAGAGCAGCGUCUACACGGAGAGUUUUGGGACUGGAGUUAAAUAAAGACAGAGAUGUUGAAAGAGUCCAUGGUGGUGGAAUUAACACCCUUGACAUUGAACCUGUUGAAGGGAGAUACAUGUUAUCAGGUGGUUCAGAUGGUGUGAUUGUACUUUAUGACCUUGAGAACUCCAGCAGACAACCUUAUUACACAUGUAAAGCUGUGUGUUCCAUUGACAGAUAUCAUCCUGAUGUUCACAAAUACAGUGUGGAAACUGUACAGUGGUAUCCUCAUGACACUGGCAUGUUCACAUCAAGCUCAUUUGAUAAAACACUGAAAGUAUGGGAUACAAAUACAUUACAAACUGCAGAUGUAUUUAAUUUUGAGGAAACAGUUUACAGUCAUCAUAUGUCUCCAGUCUCCACCAAGCACUGUUUGGUAGCAGUUGGUACUAGAGGACCCAAAGUACAACUUUGUGACUUGAAGUCUGGAUCCUGUUCUCACAUUCUACAGGGUCAUAGACAAGAAAUACUGGCAGUUUCCUGGUCUCCACGUUAUGACUAUAUCUUGGCAACUGCAAGUGCUGACAGUAGAGUAAAAUUAUGGGAUGUGAGAAGAGCAUCAGGAUGUUUAAUUACUCUUGAUCAGCAUAAUGGAGAAAAGUCACAAGCUGUUGAAUCAGCAAACACUGCUCAUAAUGGGAAAGUUAAUGGCUUAUGUUUUACAAGUGAUGGGCUUCACCUUCUCACUGUUGGUACAGAUAAUCGAAUGAGACUCUGGAAUAGUUCCAAUGGAGAAAACACACUUGUGAACUAUGGAAAAGUUUGUAAUAACAGUAAAAAAGGAUUGAAAUUCACUGUCUCCUGUGGCUGCAGUUCAGAAUUUGUUUUUGUACCAUAUGGUAGCACCAUUGCUGUUUAUACAGUUUACUCAGGAGAACAGAUAACUAUGCUUAAGGGACAUUAUAAAAGUGUAGACUGCUGUGUAUUUCAGUCAAAGUUUCCAGGAACUUUAUAGUGGCAGCAGAGACUGCAACAUUCUGGCAUGGGUUCCAUCCUUAUAUGAGCCAGUUCCUGAUGAUGAUGAGACUACAACAAAAUCACAAUUAAAUCCAGCCUUUGAAGAUGCCUGGAGUAGCAGUGAUGAAGAAGGAUAAAUAUCAACCUUUAGUACCUUUGUGUGUCUGCUGAAACUUUUUAAAUGAGACCGUAUGUGUUUUUUUUUCAAUUGUACGGUCUAUUCCUGACAGCUAAAUUAACCCUAAAUGUGGGUAAUUUGUUUCCUCAUGUUUUAAAAUGAGGUUAAUAUUUGCAUAAAAUCCUAAAACAGACUUCUGUAUCAUUUAUUUAAUCCAAAUGUGUUCCUUGAAAGCAGUUGUGGCCUGGGGAAACCCCGAUUGCUACAGUACAAGUACACAGUCAUUGUACCUCAACUGUGACUUUCAGCAGAUUUUAUGAAAUACAAGAUGCAGUUUCAGAGGAUCACCAAGUGGAGGCCAUCAGCAUUGACCUUCUCCUACUUGCUCUACUAUCGGCCUGCUCAUUUCCACCUUCAAGAAUGAUUUUGCCAAGAAUGAGUAUAUCAAAAAUACUAGUUGAAAUGGUAACAUCAAAAUUAUUUUAUUUUUCAUCUAUUCACAUUUUGCAGUGAUUUCAUUUAAGUAACCAUUCUUUAGCUUUAUGUUAAACAUUUUUGGGCUCAAUAUCUCCUACAAUCCAAAAAGUUUAUCACAGGAGGCUUUUAACUUUGUGAACAUCCCUUGUUCACUUUAUUUUAAUGUCAGAAGGCAGUUUGCACUCAUGCUUGAACUCUCUUUCUAUGAAACUCAUUAAGACAUGACCAAAUCUUGCCUCAUCCAUUCAAGCAGAAAAUAUCCUUGAAAGGAAUCUGGCUUAAACAUGAAAUGUUGUAAGAAAAUUCCUAUGUUACUGUCUC